GGAAAUUUAGUUCAGUGGUUAGAACGCCCGGCUCAUAACCGGGAAGUCCUGAGUUCGAAUCUCAGAAUUUCCA
Molecule: transfer RNA, 73 nt
Filed under: Ruminococcus sp. AF17-22AC
Lineage: Bacteria; Bacillati; Bacillota; Clostridia; Eubacteriales; Oscillospiraceae
Also listed under: 2 other names
Description: tRNA-Met
Rfam family: tRNA
About the family: Transfer RNA (tRNA) molecules are approximately 80 nucleotides in length. Their secondary structure includes four short double-helical elements and three loops (D, anti-codon, and T loops).
Source: RNAcentral